GGUUAAGCGACUAAGCGUACACGGUGGAUGCCCUGGCAGUCAGAGGCGAUGAAGGACGUGCUAAUCUGCGAUAAGCGUCGGUAAGGUGAUAUGAACCGUUAUAACCGGCGAUUUCCGAAUGGGGAAACCCAGUGUGUUUCGACACACUAUCAUUAACUGAAUCCAUAGGUUAAUGAGGCGAACCGGGGGAACUGAAACAUCUAAGUACCCCGAGGAAAAGAAAUCAACCGAGAUUCCCCCAGUAGCGGCGAGCGAACGGGGAGCAGCCCAGAGCCUGAAUCAGUGUGUGUGUUAGUGGAAGCGUCUGGAAAGGCGCGCGAUACAGGGUGACAGCCCCGUACACAAAAAUGCACAUGCUGUGAGCUCGAUGAGUAGGGCGGGACACGUGGUAUCCUGUCUGAAUAUGGGGGGACCAUCCUCCAAGGCUAAAUACUCCUGACUGACCGAUAGUGAACCAGUACCGUGAGGGAAAGGCGAAAAGAACCCCGGCGAGGGGAGUGAAAAAGAACCUGAAACCGUGUACGUACAAGCAGUGGAGCACAGAGCAAUCUGUGUGACUGCGUACCUUUUGUAUAAUGGGUCAGCGACUUAUAUUCUGUAGCAAGGUUAACCGAAUAGGGGAGCCGAAGGGAAACCGAGUCUUAACUGGGCGUUAAGUUGCAGGGUAUAGACCCGAAACCCGGUGAUCUAGCCAUGGGCAGGUUGAAGGUUGGGUAACACUAACUGGAGGACCGAACCGACUAAUGUUGAAAAAUUAGCGGAUGACUUGUGGCUGGGGGUGAAAGGCCAAUCAAACCGGGAGAUAGCUGGUUCUCCCCGAAAGCUAUUUAGGUAGCGCCUCGUGAAUUCAUCUCCGGGGGUAGAGCACUGUUUCGGCAAGGGGGUCAUCCCGACUUACCAACCCGAUGCAAACUGCGAAUACCGGAGAAUGUUAUCACGGGAGACACACGGCGGGUGCUAACGUCCGUCGUGAAGAGGGAAACAACCCAGACCGCCAGCUAAGGUCCCAAAGUCAUGGUUAAGUGGGAAACGAUGUGGGAAGGCCCAGACAGCCAGGAUGUUGGCUUAGAAGCAGCCAUCAUUUAAAGAAAGCGUAAUAGCUCACUGGUCGAGUCGGCCUGCGCGGAAGAUGUAACGGGGCUAAACCAUGCACCGAAGCUGCGGCAGCGACGCUUAUGCGUUGUUGGGUAGGGGAGCGUUCUGUAAGCCUGCGAAGGUGUGCUGUGAGGCAUGCUGGAGGUAUCAGAAGUGCGAAUGCUGACAUAAGUAACGAUAAAGCGGGUGAAAAGCCCGCUCGCCGGAAGACCAAGGGUUCCUGUCCAACGUUAAUCGGGGCAGGGUGAGUCGACCCCUAAGGCGAGGCCGAAAGGCGUAGUCGAUGGGAAACAGGUUAAUAUUCCUGUACUUGGUGUUACUGCGAAGGGGGGACGGAGAAGGCUAUGUUGGCCGGGCGACGGUUGUCCCGGUUUAAGCGUGUAGGCUGGUUUUCCAGGCAAAUCCGGAAAAUCAAGGCUGAGGCGUGAUGACGAGGCACUACGGUGCUGAAGCAACAAAUGCCCUGCUUCCAGGAAAAGCCUCUAAGCAUCAGGUAACAUCAAAUCGUACCCCAAACCGACACAGGUGGUCAGGUAGAGAAUACCAAGGCGCUUGAGAGAACUCGGGUGAAGGAACUAGGCAAAAUGGUGCCGUAACUUCGGGAGAAGGCACGCUGAUAUGUAGGUGAAGUCCCUCGCGGAUGGAGCUGAAAUCAGUCGAAGAUACCAGCUGGCUGCAACUGUUUAUUAAAAACACAGCACUGUGCAAACACGAAAGUGGACGUAUACGGUGUGACGCCUGCCCGGUGCCGGAAGGUUAAUUGAUGGGGUCAGCGCAAGCGAAGCUCUUGAUCGAAGCCCCGGUAAACGGCGGCCGUAACUAUAACGGUCCUAAGGUAGCGAAAUUCCUUGUCGGGUAAGUUCCGACCUGCACGAAUGGCGUAAUGAUGGCCAGGCUGUCUCCACCCGAGACUCAGUGAAAUUGAACUCGCUGUGAAGAUGCAGUGUACCCGCGGCAAGACGGAAAGACCCCGUGAACCUUUACUAUAGCUUGACACUGAACAUUGAGCCUUGAUGUGUAGGAUAGGUGGGAGGCUUUGAAGUGUGGACGCCAGUCUGCAUGGAGCCGACCUUGAAAUACCACCCUUUAAUGUUUGAUGUUCUAACGUUGACCCGUAAUCCGGGUUGCGGACAGUGUCUGGUGGGUAGUUUGACUGGGGCGGUCUCCUCCUAAAGAGUAACGGAGGAGCACGAAGGUUGGCUAAUCCUGGUCGGACAUCAGGAGGUUAGUGCAAUGGCAUAAGCCAGCUUGACUGCGAGCGUGACGGCGCGAGCAGGUGCGAAAGCAGGUCAUAGUGAUCCGGUGGUUCUGAAUGGAAGGGCCAUCGCUCAACGGAUAAAAGGUACUCCGGGGAUAACAGGCUGAUACCGCCCAAGAGUUCAUAUCGACGGCGGUGUUUGGCACCUCGAUGUCGGCUCAUCACAUCCUGGGGCUGAAGUAGGUCCCAAGGGUAUGGCUGUUCGCCAUUUAAAGUGGUACGCGAGCUGGGUUUAGAACGUCGUGAGACAGUUCGGUCCCUAUCUGCCGUGGGCGCUGGAGAACUGAGGGGGGCUGCUCCUAGUACGAGAGGACCGGAGUGGACGCAUCACUGGUGUUCGGGUUGUCAUGCCAAUGGCACUGCCCGGUAGCUAAAUGCGGAAGAGAUAAGUGCUGAAAGCAUCUAAGCACGAAACUUGCCCCGAGAUGAGUUCUCCCUGACUCCUUGAGAGUCCUGAAGGAACGUUGAAGACGACGACGUUGAUAGGCCGGGUGUGUAAGCGCAGCGAUGCGUUGAGCUAACCGGUACUAAUGAACCGUGAGGCUUAACCUU
This 2905-nucleotide ribosomal RNA is filed under the name Escherichia coli. RNAcentral describes it as "23S ribosomal RNA". It matches the Rfam family "Bacterial large subunit ribosomal RNA". Lineage: Bacteria; Pseudomonadati; Pseudomonadota; Gammaproteobacteria; Enterobacterales; Enterobacteriaceae. The record is from RNAcentral.